Non-coding RNA from Drosophila suzukii, 783 nucleotides. The record is from RefSeq and is a predicted model, not a curated record. Lineage: Eukaryota; Metazoa; Arthropoda; Insecta; Diptera; Drosophilidae.
UCGAAGUUCAGAUGCCGUUUGCCGGGGUUAAUUCCCAACAGUGCUGCACCGAUUGUCGAUUCCGGUUAUCGAGAUAAUCGGAAAAAAAUCAUCGAAAUAAUCACUUCUAUCGAACAAAUACAAAAAAGACGAAAAUAAAUAAAUAAAGCAUUUUGAAUGUGGUGGCGUCAAUGCAAAACUUAAAUAAAUUUCGAAUAAAAACUUUUUAUAUGUGGUUUCGUAACGACAAGUCGGCAACUGCGAUAUCUUCAGCACAAAUACAUAUGCAUGCUAAUCAACGAAAAGCAAAAAAAAAAACAUACAAAAUACAAAAUAAAAACCACCAACAAACAACACCCAAAAGCCCGAAACACUGGAAAACCCGAUACGAAACAUGGCCAACUGAAGUGGCGAAGUGGAGGAUUGGUGGACUGGUGGAGUGGGGUGGCGAUGGUGUUUCGACUAGAAGGCUUAGCCCCACUCGAGAAAGAAACACAACCAGACCAGAGAUUCGGAUUCGGAUUCCGAUUCGAUCCGAUCCGAAAAGCGUCGAGAGUGAGCGGCGGUGGUGGUGCUCAAAACGUUCGCUUCGAAAACUUGUCUUCCCAGAUUCAGUUUGGAUUUCUUCUUCUUAUUGGAGCAGCAGCGACAAGACGAGACCGACAACAACACCAAAAUACAAAACAUGAAAGGAGGGCCCCCAAAAGCCGAAGUUGGCAAUACACUUGAAGUUUUCUUUGGAAAAAUACCAGAGGCCGAAAUAAAAUUAGCAGUUAUAUUGAUUGUCCCAGUUUCAAAAUUAAA